RNAcentral lists this ribosomal RNA (253 nucleotides) under uncultured bacterium. RNAcentral's name for it is "partial 16S ribosomal RNA". It matches the Rfam family "Bacterial small subunit ribosomal RNA", at positions 524 to 776 of the family's 1533-position model. The record is from RNAcentral.
UACGUAGGAGGCGAGCGUUGUCCGGAAUUACUGGGCGUAAAGCGCGCGUAGGCGGUCUGUCGCGUCGGCGGUGAAAGCCCUCGGCUCACCUGGGGGAGGUCCGCCGAAACGGACAGACUGGAGGGCGGUAGGGGCUGGCGGAACGCCCGGAGUAGCGGUGAAAUGCGUUGAGAUCGGGCAGAACACCAGUGGCGAAGGCGGCCGGCUGGGCCGACCCUGACGCUGAGGCGCGAAAGCCAGGGGAGCGAACGGA